Molecule: non-coding RNA, 1439 nt
Organism: Nicotiana tabacum (common tobacco)
Lineage: Eukaryota; Viridiplantae; Streptophyta; Magnoliopsida; Solanales; Solanaceae
Source: RefSeq, a predicted model, not a curated record
GGCUACCCAAAUUCAUUUGCAACAGGAAAUUGAUCCCAUUUUUUGGAGCUCUCAAUCGGCAUACAUAUACAUCUCUCUAUGGACACAUCAAAGCAUGCUAAAAAGAAAACUGGUCAAAACGAUGUUAUGCGUGCUUUAUCAGAGUUGUUUUUAUGUCCAGGGCUCCGCCGUCCUCUGUUGCAUUUCCACUCAUUUUUUUCACCUUUUGUUCAUCAGAUCGGUUUUAUUGAUUGUUUCAGCGUACUUAUGGUUAUCAGGUUCAGGAGACAUAUUUGUAACCUUAAAUUUUGGCGGAUGUUGGUAAUGUGUAAUUUUUUUUUUCAAUCGACCAGGUUUAACGACAAUCUCAUUUUUGCGGCAAUAUUCUAACAUAUUUGGUUAUUUUUGGUUCAAGAGACAUAUUUACAGCCCGAAACCUUGGCGGAUGUUGAUAUAUCAUCUAUAAUCUUUUGUUUUCAAUUGGUUAUGUUUAAUGACAAUCUCACCUCUAUAAAGAUUGUGCAUGUGUUUUUAUAUCGAGUAGUGUAGUUUACAUAUUUGUUCAGAUGUUUGUUACAAAGGCAAAUUAGGAGAACAAAAAAGGAAUUUAUCUUAGUGAGGGAGGAAAACAUAAACUAGAGGGAGAAAAGAAAGAAAAGAAGGAAAGAGAAAUAACAGGGGAAAACGAAAAGAAAAAAAUUCAUAUAUUUCUUUCUUUUUUUUACGUACUAUGCAUGUGCAUUUAUAUGAAAUAGUAUAAUUUGCAGAUUUAUUCAGAUAUUUGUUACAAAUGCAAAUUAGGAGAACAAAAAAGAAGUCCAUCUUAGCGAUAGAGGAAAACAAAAGUUAGGGGGGAGAAAAAGAAGAAAAGAAGGAAAGGGAAAUAAAAGGGCAAAAAGAAAAGAAAAAAAUCGUACAUUUCUUUCUUUUUUUACGCAAUGUGUCAAAAUAAUUGGAUUUGGGUCUUCUUCUCUGUUUUCAUAUUUCUAAUUACAAGAAAUUUUGAAAAAUACCAAUGUAGUGGGUGUGUGUAUGUGUAUAUAUAUAUGUGAUAUAUUUAUCGCUAAGAAACACAUUUAUAAUUAUCAUCCCUUUUUUCCCCAUCAAUUUUUUUUUUUGGAAAUAAUUAUAUGAAGAGUCUUGGAGCUAAUUGAAACAAUCUUUGUAUGUACUACAUUUUCUUCCAAAUUACAGAAUUAAAAUUAUAAAGGACUUUUUUAUAUUCAUUAAUUUAUUUUUAUCACAGCGCGAAGCGCGGCAAAUUCACUAGUUCCAUAUAAAAUACACCCUCGUAUAAAUAGGAACAAAGGGAAUAUCAAACAACGUAGCUAUCAGUAUAUAUAUCAACUACUGAUGAUGGACUUUAUCUGCUGUGUAUUAAUACUUUACAUCUUUCUCGUAUUUCUUAUAUCUCUUAUAUUGCUGUUACUUUGUUAUUUUAUGGUAUUUAUGUUAUGUUA